RNAcentral lists this ribosomal RNA (292 nucleotides) under uncultured bacterium. RNAcentral's name for it is "partial 16S ribosomal RNA". It matches the Rfam family "Bacterial small subunit ribosomal RNA", at positions 505 to 796 of the family's 1533-position model. The record is from RNAcentral.
GUGCCAGCAGCCGCGGUAAUACGGGGGGGGCAAGCGUUGUUCGGAAUUACUGGGCGUAAAGGGGACGUAGGCGGCCAACUAAGUCCGACGUGAAAUCCCAAGGCUUAACCUUGGAACUGCGUCGGAUACUGGAUGGCUUGAAUUCGGGAGAGGGAUGCAGAAUUCCAGGUGUAGCGGUGAAAUGCGUAGAUAUCUGGAGGAAUACCGGUGGCGAAGGCGGCAUCCUGGACCGACAUUGACGCUGAAAGCCGAAAGCUAGGGGAGCAAACGGGAUUAGAAACCCGCGUAGUCC